AUGCAUGUCUAAGUACACACUGUAGCACAGUGAAACCGCGAAUGGCUCAUUAAAUCAGUUAUGGUUUAUUAGAUCGUGCGUUCCAUGUGGAUAACUGUGGUAAUUCUAGAGCUAAUACAUGCAACAGGCCCUGACGUUAUGAAGGGGCGCUUUUAUUAGAUCAAAACCAAUCAGACUUCGGUCUGUAUUUGUGAUGACUCUGGAUAACUUUGUGCCGACCGCAUGGCCUUGCGCCGGCGGCGUAUCUUUCAAAUGUCUGCCCUAUCAACUUUCGAUGGUACGUGAUAUGCCUACCAUGGUUGUAACGGGUAACGGAGAAUCAGGGUUCGAUUCCGGAGAGGGAGCCUGAGAAACGGCUACCACAUCCAAGGAAGGCAGCAGGCGCGCAAAUUACCCACUCCCGGCACGGGGAGGUAGUGACGAAAAAUAACAAUGCUGGGCUUCAAGUCCGGUAAUUGGAAUGAGUACACUUUAAAUCCUUUAACGAGGAUCCAGUGGAGGGCAAGUCUGGUGCCAGCAGCCGCGGUAAUUCCAGCUCCACGAGCAUGUACGUAAGUUGUUGCAGUUAAAAAGCUCGUAGUUUGAUUUCAGGCUUGUGGCCGGUGGUCUGUUCGAUACGAGCAUGUACUGCCGUGCCCGGUCUUCAUCUGGUGCAACUUCGCAGUGCCCUUGACCGGGUGCUGCGGAAUGCCAGAAAUUUUACUCUGAAAAAAUUAGAGUGCUCAAAGCAAGCCGAUUGUGCUUGAAUACUGUUGCAUGGAAUAAUAAAAUAGGACCUCGGUUUUAUUUUGUUGGUUUUCAGAGUCGAGGUAAUGAUUAAGAGGGACAGACGGGGGCAUUCGUAUUGCGCUGUUAGAGGUGAAAUUCUUGGAUCGGUGCAAGACGAACAACUGCGAAAGCAUUUGCCAAGAAUGUUUUCAUUAAUCAAGAACGAAAGUCAGAGGUUCGAAGACGAUCAGAUACCGUCGUAGUUCUGACCAUAAACGAUGCCAACUGGCGAUCCGCCGUAGUCUGGCUUGAAGGACUCGGUGGGCAGCCUCCGGGAAACCUAAGUCUAUGGGUUCCGGGGGAAGUAUGGUUGCAAAGCUGAAACUUAAAGGAAUUGACGGAAGGGCACCACCAGGAGUGGAGCCUGCGGCUUAAUUUGACUCAACACGGGAAAACUCACCCGGCCAGGACACCGUUAGGAUUGACAGACUGAAAGCUCUUUCUUGAUUCGGUGGGUGGUGGUGCAUGGCCGUUCUUAGUUGGUGGAGUGAUUUGUCUGGUUAAUUCCGAUAACGAACGAGACUCUAGCCUGCUAAAUAGACGGACGAUCUGUUUAGGGUCGAUCCGAACACAGCUUCUUAGAGGGACAAGUGGCGUUUCUAGCCACGCGAAAUUGAGCAAUAACAGGUCUGUGAUGCCCUUAGAUGUCCGGGGCCGCACGCGCGCUACAAUGAGAGACGCAGCGUGUCCGCAACGCCUGACCCGAAAGGGUUGGGUAAUCAUUUCAAUUUCUCUCGUAAUAGGGAUUGAGCAUUGUAAUUAUUGCUCAUGAACGAGGAAUUCCUAGUAAGCGCGAGUCAUAAGCUUGCGUUGACUACGUCCCUGCCCUUUGUACACACCGCCCGUCGCUACUACCGAUUGAAUGGUUUAGCGAGAACCUCGGAUUGAACCCAUGCCGUGUGUAAGCAUGGUUGCGGGUUUGAAAAGAAGCUCAAGCUUGAUCAUUUA
This 1716-nucleotide ribosomal RNA is filed under the name Aspidiophorus tentaculatus. RNAcentral's name for it is "SSU rRNA". It matches the Rfam family "Eukaryotic small subunit ribosomal RNA". Lineage: Eukaryota; Metazoa; Gastrotricha; Chaetonotida; Chaetonotidae. The record is from RNAcentral.